GCUAUCGGCCAAACGUCCUUGUCAAAGUCUGAGAUUGCAGAAGCUAAGCAGGGCCGAGCCUGGUUAGUACUUGGAUGAGAGACCGCUUGGAAUUCCAGGUGCCACAGUG
This 109-nucleotide ribosomal RNA is filed under the name Periophthalmus magnuspinnatus. The record is from RNAcentral. Lineage: Eukaryota; Metazoa; Chordata; Actinopteri; Gobiiformes; Gobiidae.